This 3390-nucleotide long non-coding RNA is filed under the name Salmo salar (Atlantic salmon). RNAcentral describes it as "lncRNA (ENSSSAG00000102470.1, ENSSSAG00000106913.1)". The record is from RNAcentral. Lineage: Eukaryota; Metazoa; Chordata; Actinopteri; Salmoniformes; Salmonidae.
GACUAUUGGAGUUGGAAACAUAAUAUUCCUGACUGUUGGAAACAUAAUAUUACUGACUGUUGGAAACAUAAUAUUACUGACUGUUGGAAACAUAAUAUUACUGACUGUUGGAAACAUAAUAUUACUGACUGUUGGAGUUGGAAACAUAAUAUUACUGACUGUUGGAAACAUAAUAUUACUGACUGUUGGAGUUGGAAACAUAAUAUUACUGACUGUUGGAGUUGGAAACAUAAUAUUACUGACUGUUGGAAACAUAAUAUUACUGACUGUUGGAAACAUAAUAUUACUGACUGUUGUAAACAUAAUAUUACUGACUGUUGGAGUUAGAAUCAUAAUAUUACCGACUGUUGGAGUUAGAAACAUAAUAUUACCGACUGUUGGAGUUAGAAACAUAAUAUUACUGACUGUUGGAAACAUAAUAUUACUGACUGUUAGAAACAUAAUAUUCCUGACUGUUGGAAACAUAAUAUUACUGACUGUUGGAGUUGGAAACAUAAUAUUCCUGACUGUUGCAGUUAGAAUCAUAAUUACUGACUGUUGGAGCUAGAAACAUAAUAUUAUUGACUGUUGGAAACAUAAUAUUACUGACUGUUGGAAACAUAAUAUUACUGACUGUUGGAAACAUAAUAUUACUGACUGUUGGAGUUGUAAACAUAAUAUUACUGACUGUUGGAAACAUAAUAUUACUGACUGUUGGAGUUAGAAUCAUAAUAUUACUGACUGUUACAGAUGAAGAACCACAUAUGUUACAUUUAACUACUUUUAAUAUAAACAUCAUACACCAUUAUUUGAUAUCCUGUCUAUAAAAUGAAGUGGUCAUGCAAACUCUUUACGCACCCAUUAGCCGGUAUUUCACAUUUAAAAUAGACUCACCCAGUGCUUAAUUUGUAAAUCGGGAGGUGCCGGAACUCAUGAGAAAAUAAAUCACCUUUAUGAUAAAGCAUUGCGGGCAUAUCAUCACAUUUUCGUAGUGCCAUAGAGCAGUAGAGUUGAGGCACUUAUAGAGGUUGCACACAUGGGGAACAUUUUUAGCAGCCUAGGGUCCGGGAAAAAUGUGGCCUUUUAUAAACGCAUUUCAUGCAAUUCCACUUCAUUUUACAUGACUGGAGACUUUGGCAGAAUCUUUUUUAAAACCACACAAAUUAUCGAAAUGGCAGGAUACUUUGACACUGACAAACUGAGAAUCUAAGUUCAAUAAAAACGACCUUGUCUUGAAUCCAUCAAUAGUCUAUCCCAAGCGGUGUGGAGACACAUGUUGUAGGCUACAAUACGAGGAGGAAAUUAUAGUCAUAAACAUGCUUUCCAGUUUCACUGACACACCCAAUGAUGAGCAGCUCAGUCACUGGUGAUAUUUUGGUAGCCUACAGCAUAGAGUAUUUUCUUUUCAGCAGGAACCAUUUGCUUUCCAACCUGUGUUUUCCCUCGAUUGUAUUUGAAAUAUUGCAUACCCAGAAAAACCUAUAUGUCCGAAGCAAAAAAUGGAGCGGCCAGUGGUUUGUCUGAGCGCAGCGGGCAAAACCCGUCAAAUAUUAUAAAAAAUGGAAGAAUAAACAUAAAUUAAUGGAAGACUUGAGGGAUGCAGGGAAACCUUACAUCGUUCUCAAGGGAGAACAAAAACAAGGGAAAAGAGCAUGGGAAGAGAUACCUGUGUGCCAAACUUCUAGAGGAGCGCAAGCUACAGCUUGUCAUAUGACGACAAGCCUGGAUUCUUUCUGGAUUGGAACAGUCCACAGUCCGGAACCUCCAGAGACGGUCCACAGUCCGGAACCUCCAGAGACGGCUUACAGUCCAGAACCUCCUGAGACGGCUUACAGUCCGGAACCUCCUGAGACGGUCCACAGUCCGGAACCUCCUGAGACGGUCCACAGUCCGGAACCUCCUGAGACGGUCCAUGGCCCGAAGCCUCCAGCGAUGAUCCAUGGCCCGGAGCCUCCAGCGAUGAUCCAUGGCCCGGAGCCUCCAGUGAAGAGCCAAGGCCCAGAGCCAAGGCCCAGAGCCUUCAGCGACGGUCUGCAGUCCAGAGCCUCCAGCGACGGUCUGCAGUCCAGAGUCUUCAGCAACGGUCUGCAAUCCAGAGUCUUCAGCGACGGUCGGCAGUCCAGAGCCUUCAGCGACGGUCGGCAGUCCAGCGCCUCCAACGACGGCCGGCAGUCCAGAGCCUCCAGCGACGGUCGGCAGUCUAGAGCCUCCAGCGACGGUCUGCAGUCCAGAGCCUCCAGCGACGGUCUGCAGUCCAGGGCCUCCAGCGACGGUCUGAGGUCCAGAGCCUCCAGCGACGGUCUGCAGUCCAGAGCCUCCAACGACGGCCGGCAGUCCAGAGCCUCCAGCGACGGUCGGCAGUCUAGAGCCUCCAGCGACGGUCUGCAGUCCAGAGCCUCCAGCGACGGUCUGCAGUCCAGGGCCUCCAGCGACGGUCUGAGGUCCAGAGCCUCCAGCGACGGUCUGCAGUUCAGAGCCUUCGGCAACGGUCGGCAGUCCAGAGCCUCCGGCGACGAUCUAUGGUCCGGUUCCUCCGGCAACGAUCUACGGUCCGGAGCCUCCGGCGACGAUCCACGGUCCGGUUUCACGGAAGUGGGGGGAGCCUCAAGCGGAGCGGGGUCUGCGUCCCGCACCGGAGCCUCCACCGAGAGGAGUUGCCCACCUGGGUGAUGCCCACUUGGGUGGGCAUAUCUAUGUGUCUAUUUCUUUGUUGGCCUAGUAUGGUUCCCAAUCAGAGGCAGCUGUUUAUCAUUGUCUCUGAUUGGGGAUCAUACUGAGUCAGCCCUUUUUCCCACCUGUGAUUGUGGGAUCUUGUUUUUGUGUAGCUGCCUGUGAGCAGCCCAGAACGUAACGCUUCAUUUUCUUCUGUAUUGUUUUUGGUGAGUUUCAUAUUUAUUAAACAUGUGGAACUCUAAGUACGCUGCGCCUUGGUCCAAUCUUUACGACGAGCGUGACAUGGUGCUUAAAGUCAGUGAUGGAGAUAUGAGACUCCAGCUUCAGUGAUUUUUGCAGUUCGUUCCAGUCAUUGGCAGCAGAGAACUGGAAGAAAAGGCGGCCAAAGGAGGAAUUGGCUUUGGGGGUGACCAGUGAGAUAUACCUGCUGGAGCAUGUGCUACAGGUGGGUGCUGCUAUGGUGACCAGUGAGCUGAGAUAAGGCGGGCCUUUACCUAUCAAAGACUUAUAGAUGACCUGGAGCCAGUGGCUUUGGCGAGGAAUAUGAGCGAGGGCCAGCCAACGAGAGCGUACAGGUCACAGUGGUGGGUAGUAUAUGGGGCUUUGGUGACAAUACUACUUAAGUAGGUUUUUGUGGUAUCUGUACUUUACUUUACUAUUUAUAUUGUUGACAACUUUUAAUUUUACUUCACUACAUUCCUAAAGAAAAUAAUGUACUUUUAACUCCAUACAUUUUCC